ACAUGCCUAAAAAUUAGCGUUCAUGCACCAAAUCCAAUUAUAACUCCGUAGUUAAGAGCGCUCAGGCUAGAGUAGUACUAGGAUGGAUGACCACCCGUGAAGUCUUAGUAUUUUACAUGCC
Non-coding RNA from Picea glauca (white spruce), 121 nucleotides. NCBI's taxonomy places the organism in Eukaryota, Viridiplantae, Streptophyta, Pinopsida, Pinales, Pinaceae. The record is from Rfam.